Molecule: ribosomal RNA, 446 nt
Filed under: uncultured bacterium
Lineage: Bacteria
Description: partial 16S ribosomal RNA
Rfam family: Bacterial small subunit ribosomal RNA
Source: RNAcentral
CCUACGGGGCGCAGCAGUCGAGAAUCAUUCACAAUGGGGGAAACCCUGAUGGUGCGACGCCGCGUGGGGGAAUGAAGGUCUUCGGAUUGUAAACCCCUGUCAUGUGGGAGCAAAUUAAAAAGAUAGUACCACAAGAGGAAGAGACGGCUAACUCUGUGCCAGCAGCCGCGGUAAUACAGAGGUCUCAAGCGUUGUUCGGAAUCACUGGGCGUAAAGCGUGCGUAGGCUGUUUCGUAAGUCGUGUGUGAAAGGCGCGGACUCAACCCGCGGACGGCACAUGAUACUGCGAGACUAGAGUAAUGGAGGGGGAACCGGAAUUCUCGGUGUAGCAGUGAAAUGCGUAGAUAUCGAGAGGAACACUCGUGGCGAAGGCGGGUUCCUGGACAUUAACUGACGCUGAGGCACGAAGGCCAGGGGAGCGAAAGGGAUUAGAUACCCCAGUAGUC